RNAcentral lists this unclassified non-coding RNA (254 nucleotides) under uncultured Actinomycetes bacterium. Its description in RNAcentral is "uncultured actinobacterium contains 16S-23S intergenic spacer region". It matches the Rfam family "Bacterial small subunit ribosomal RNA", at positions 524 to 776 of the family's 1533-position model. Lineage: Bacteria; Bacillati; Actinomycetota; Actinomycetes. The record is from RNAcentral.
UACGUAGGGGGCGAGCGUUGUCCGGAAUCAUUGGGCGUAAAGAGCUCGUAGGCGGUUUCGUAAGUCGGCGGUGAAAGCUCGGGACUCAACUCCGAGAGGUCCGUCGAUACUGCGAUGACUUGAGUCCGGUAGAGGAGUGUGGAACUCCUGGUGUAGCGGUGAAAUGCGCAGAUAUCAGGAAGAACACCGGUGGCGAAGGCGGCACUCUGGGCCGGUACUGACGCUGAGGAGCGAAAGCUAGGGGAGCAAACAGG